GAUGAACGCUGGCGGCGUGCCUAAUACAUGCAAGUCGAGCGAAUGGAUUAAGAGCUUGCUCUUAUGAAGUUAGCGGCGGACGGGUGAGUAACACGUGGGUAACCUGCCCAUAAGACUGGGAUAACUCCGGGAAACCGGGGCUAAUACCGGAUAACAUUUUGAACCGCAUGGUUCGAAAUUGAAAGGCGGCUUCGGUUGUCACUUAUGGAUGGACCGGCGACGCAUUAGCUAGUUGGUGAGGUAACGGCUAACCAAGGCAACGAUGCGUAGCCGACCGGAGAGGGUGAUCGGCCACACUGGGACUGAGACACGGCCCAGACUCCUACGGGAAGGCAGCAGUAGGGAAUCUUCCGCAAUGGACGUAAGUCUGACGGAGCAACGCCGCGUGAGUGAUGAAGGCUUUCGGGUCGUAAAACUCUGUUGUUAGGGAAGAACAAGUGCUAGUUGAAUAAGCUGGCACCUUGACGGUACCUAACCAGAAAGCCACGGCUAACUACGUGCCAGCAGCCGCCGUAA
This 516-nucleotide ribosomal RNA is filed under the name uncultured bacterium. RNAcentral's name for it is "partial 16S ribosomal RNA". It matches the Rfam family "Bacterial small subunit ribosomal RNA", at positions 28 to 523 of the family's 1533-position model. The record is from RNAcentral.